Molecule: ribosomal RNA, 731 nt
Filed under: uncultured bacterium
Lineage: Bacteria
Description: bacterial SSU rRNA
Rfam family: Bacterial small subunit ribosomal RNA
Source: RNAcentral
AACAGGAUUAGAUACCCUGGUAGUCCAUGCCGUAAACGAUGUCUACUAGCCGUUGGGGCCUUUGAGGCUUUAGUGGCGCAGCUAACGCGAUAAGUAGACCGCCUGGGGAGUACGGUCGCAAGACUAAAACUCAAAUGAAUUGACGGGGGCCCGCACAAGCGGUGGAGCAUGUGGUUUAAUUCGAUGCAACGCGAAGAACCUUACCUGGCCUUGACAUACUAAGAACUUUCCAGAGAUGGAUUGGUGCCUUCGGGAACUUAGAUACAGGUGCUGCAUGGCUGUCGUCAGCUCGUGUCGUGAGAUGUUGGGUUAAGUCCCGCAACGAGCGCAACCCUUUUCCUUAUUUGCCAGCGGGUUAAGCCGGGAACUUUAAGGAUACUGCCAGUGACAAACUGGAGGAAGGCGGGGACGACGUCAAGUCAUCAUGGCCCUUACGGCCAGGGCUACACACGUGCUACAAUGGUCGGUACAAAGGGUUGCUACCUCGCGAGAGGAUGCUAAUCUCAAAAAGCCGAUCGUAGUCCGGAUCGCAGUCUGCAACUCGACUGCGUGAAGUCGGAAUCGCUAGUAAUCGCGGAUCAGAAUGCCGCGGUGAAUACGUUCCCGGGCCUUGUACACACCGCCCGUCACACCAUGGGAGUUUGUUGCACCAGAAGUAGGUAGUCUAACCGCAAGGAGGACGCUUACCACGGUGUGGCCGAUGACUGGGGUGAAGUCGUAACAAGGUAACC